AUUGAACGCUGGCGGCAGGCCUAACACAUGCAAGUCGAGCGGCUGAAGGGACCUCGCUCCUGGAUUCAGCGGCGGACGGGUGAGUAAUGCCUAGGAAUCUGCCCGGUAGUGGGGGAUAACGUCCGGAAACGGGCGCUAAUACCGCAUACGUCCUGAGGGAGAAAGUGGGGGAUCUUCGGACCUCUCGCUAUCAGAUGAGCCUAGGUCGGAUUAGCUAGUUGGUGGGGUAAAGGCCUACCAAGGCGACGAUCCGUAACUGGUCUGAGAGGAUGAUCAGUCACACUGGAACUGAGACACGGUCCAGACUCCUACGGGAGGCAGCAGUGGGGAAUAUUGGACAAUGGGGGAAAGCCUGAUCCAGCCAUGCCGCGUGUGGGAAGAAGGUCUUCGGAUUGUAAAGCGCUUUAAGUUGGGAAGAAGGGCAGUAAGUUAAUACCUUGCUGUGUUGACGUUACCAACAGAAUAAGCACCGGCUAACUUCGUG
RNAcentral lists this ribosomal RNA (484 nucleotides) under uncultured bacterium. RNAcentral's name for it is "partial 16S ribosomal RNA". It matches the Rfam family "Bacterial small subunit ribosomal RNA", at positions 30 to 507 of the family's 1533-position model. The record is from RNAcentral.